This 1044-nucleotide long non-coding RNA is filed under the name Betta splendens (Siamese fighting fish). RNAcentral's name for it is "lncRNA (ENSBSLG00000007131.1)". Lineage: Eukaryota; Metazoa; Chordata; Actinopteri; Anabantiformes; Osphronemidae. The record is from RNAcentral.
AUGAAACUUUUGAUUCUUUUUACGUUUUUGGCCACAAGGCACCUACGCGUCGCAGGAUCCGCUGCGGCUCGGUCACCGCUCCCUUCUUCUUCGUCACAGGCCCGUCCCGCAUCCUCCCGGGGUCCGGCGCGACCCCGGCCCACGGAACCUUCCCCGUCAGGCGUCCUGCCGGGGUCCGGCGCGACCCCAGCUCCCUGUACCUCCCCGUCAGGCGUCCUCCCGGGGUCAGGCGCGACCCCAGCCCCAUGUACCUCCCCGUCCCGCAUCCUCCCGGGGUCAGGCGCGACCCCAGCUCCCUGUACCUCCCCGUCAGGCGUCCUCCCGGGGUCCGGCGCGACCCCGGCCCCAUGUACCCUCCCCGUCCCUCAUCCUGCCGGGGUCCGGCGCGACCCCGGCCCCCUGUACCUCCCCGUCAGGCGUUCUCCCGGGGUCAGGCGCGACCCCGGCCCCAUGUACCUCCCCGUCCCGCGUCCUCCCGGGGUCAGGCGCGACCCCAGCUCCCUGUACCUCCCCGUCAGGCGUCCUCCCGGGGUCCGGCGCGACCCCGGCCCCGGAACCUCCCCGUCGGGCGUCCUGCCGGGGUCCGGCGCGACCCCAGCUCCCUGUACCUCCCCGUCAGGCGUCCUCCCGGGGUCAGGCGCGACCCCAGCUCCCUGUACCUCCCCGUCAGGCGUCCUCCCGGGGUCCGGCGCAACCCCGGCCCACGGAACCUCCCCGUCAGGCGUCCUGCCGGGGUCAGGCGUCCUGCCGGGGUCCGGCGCGACCCCAGCUCCCUGUACCUCCCCGUCAGGCGUCCUCCCGGGGUCAGGCGCGACCCCGGCCCACGGAACCUCCCCGUCAAGCGUCCUGCCGGGGUCUUGGCGCCGCGUUAGAAACCCAUUCUUUCGUAGCUCUCAUUGUGGCGUUCGUGUGCAGCCUUGUUCAUUGUGGCCAUUUGCUAAAUUUUCGUGCCCAGAGCGAGUCGCUGCGUGUGAAGAGCCAGUGGCAUCGAUGUUUCCACAGCGAGUCACUGAUCAGCGCGCUGCUGUUGGCAGGUUUAGUUGA